GGGAUGGAGUUCUACCACCACUGCACCACAUGUCCACGGGUUUAGAUGUAGAACUAGGGGGAUGGAGUUCUACCACCACCACCAGGUCGACUUGUUGAUGGUCCUGUAUCUAUCCCUGUACUCAUCAACCUUCUCCCUACAAUAUCAUAUAUAUAUUUAACUAUAUAAAUGAAAGGUAUGUGAAUAAUUCAGUUUCAAGCAACGAUAAAAGGCAGAAAAUUACUAUAGACGAACUAUGUUAAUGAAACCAGAUUAAAAAAAAAAAUGAAACAUUCGAGGGGAAAAUAUAUAAGAAGAGAUAGAUUAUAUUAUAGAUUUGUGUCAAAUUAUGACCACCACUUUGUACGUGUUGUGGUGGUGGUACAUCUCGUGGCCUAGGUAGACGGCCAAAAUAUUUUAAUUACAGAAUACAAAAAAAAAACAUUAUUAUAAUUUCUUAUUUAGCUAAACUUUUUUUUUUUGAGAAAAAAAAGAGAGCUAAAUUUCCAUUUCGACCUAUCCCACUUAACUUUUUGAGACAUAUUCAACAUCUCAUCCAUAGACAAAUUUCAUGAACUCAAAUGGCAGGUACGCAACUUAUAUGUGUUAUGGUUUAUGCAUGGUCGGAACUGGGCACAACUUAGUACAAGGAUCCAAAAUAUUUUAGAAGAUAAAAUCCAAAUUACAAAAUAUUUUAUUUAUUAAAGUUCUUCAAAAUUAUUUUCCCAUGAUAUCUCAGAUCCAGCUUGGAUUUAUGCAUGUUAAUUAUUUGUAUUGAAACACUAACCGAUGACUGAAAGUGGUUGUUGAUGAGACGGUAUAGCAGAUUCAGCAAGGCAAGGUAUGACGCAAAGAAGCAGAAGCACAAUGAAGGCUUGCCUUAGCUGUGAAGAACCCAUGUCUCUUAUCUCUUCCUUCACCGAUAGAAGGCUUUACAUAUAACGAUGGAUCGGACAGGCGAAAAGUGUAAGAAAUACAAUCAAAACUAGAGAAAAGGAUAAACCACAAUGAAAAAGGUGUAAACCGUUCUUCUCCAUUCAAUUCAAUUAUUGCUCCUCUUGAUAUCUCUCAGUGACAUUUUUUUUCUUUU
This 1069-nucleotide long non-coding RNA is filed under the name Brassica rapa (field mustard). Its description in RNAcentral is "long non-coding RNA (BRAP_LNC003998)". Lineage: Eukaryota; Viridiplantae; Streptophyta; Magnoliopsida; Brassicales; Brassicaceae. The record is from RNAcentral.